UACAGAGGGUGCGAGCGUUGUUCGGAAUUACUGGGCGUAAAGCGCGCGCAGGCGGCUUUUUAAGUCCGACGGUGAAAUGCCGGGGCUCAACCCCGUGCCCGCCGCGGAUACUGGGAAGCUGGAGACGAGUAGAGGCAAGCGGAAUUCCGGGUGUAGCGGUGGAAUGCGUAGAGAUCAGGAGGAACACCUGUGGUGUAGACAGCUUACUGGACGAUAACUGACGCUGAGGCACGAAAGCGUGGGUAGCAAACAGG
Molecule: ribosomal RNA, 254 nt
Filed under: uncultured bacterium
Lineage: Bacteria
Description: partial 16S ribosomal RNA
Rfam family: Bacterial small subunit ribosomal RNA
Source: RNAcentral